UGGGGAAUAUUGGGCAAUGGAGGAAACUCUGACCCAGCCAUGCCGCGUGAAUGAUGAAGGCCUUAGGGUUGUAAAGUUCUUUCGCCGAUGAAGAUAAUGACGGUAGUCGGAGAAGAAGCCCCGGCUAACUUCGUGCCAGCAGCCGCGGUAAUACGAAGGGGGCUAGCGUUGUUCGGAAUUACUGGGCGUAAAGCGAGCGUAGGUUGCUCGACAAGUCAGUGGUGAAAGCCCAGAGCUCAACUCUGGAACUGCCAUUGAAACUGUCGAGCUGGAAUCUCAGAGGGGGUAGCGGAAUUCCAAAUGUAGGGGUGAAAUCCGUAGAUAUUUGGAGGAACACCGGUGGCGAAGGCGGCUACCUGGAUGAGUAUUGACACUGAGGCUCGAAAGCGUGGGGAUCAAACAGGAUUAGAUACCCCCGUAGUCC
Molecule: ribosomal RNA, 424 nt
Filed under: uncultured bacterium
Lineage: Bacteria
Description: bacterial SSU rRNA
Rfam family: Bacterial small subunit ribosomal RNA
Source: RNAcentral